UUAACACAUGCAAGUCGAGGGGCAGCAUUUUAGUUUGCUUGCAAACUGAAGAUGGCGACCGGCGCACGGGUGAGUAACACGUGUCCAACCUGCCGAUAACUCCGGAAUAGCCUUUCGAAAGAAAGAUUAAUACCGGAUAGCAUACGAAUAUCGCAUGAUAUUUUUAUUAAAGAAUUUCGGUUAUCGAUGGGGAUGCGUUCCAUUAGUUUGUUGGCGGGGUAACGGCCCACCAAGACUACGAUGGAUAGGGGUUCUGAGAGGAAGGUCCCCCACAUUGGAACUGAGACACGGUCCAAACUCCUACGGGAGGCAGCAGUGAGGAAUAUUGGUCAAUGGGCGAGAGCCUGAACCAGCCAAGUAGCGUGAAGGAUGAAGGCUCUAUGGGUCGUAAACUUCUUUUAUAUGGGAAUAAAGUUUUCCACGUGUGGAAUUUUGUAUGUACCAUAUGAAUAAGGAUCGGCUAACUCCGUGCCAGCAGCCGCGGUAAUACGGAGGAUCCGAGCGUUAUCCGGAUUUAUUGGGUUUAAAGGGAGCGUAGGUGGAUUGUUAAGUCAGUUGUGAAAGUUUGCGGCUCAACCGUAAAAUUGCAGUUGAAACUGGCAGUCUUGAGUACAGUAGAGGUGGGCGGAAUUCGUGGUGUAGCGGUGAAAUGCUUAGAUAUCACGAAGAACUCCGAUUGCGAAGGCAGCUCACUAGACUGUCACUGACACUGAUGCUCGAAAGUGUGGGUAUCAAACAGGAUUAGAUACCCUGGUAGUCCACACAGUAAACGAUGAAUACUCGCUGUUUGCGAUAUACAGUAAGCGGCCAAGCGAAAGCAUUAAGUAUUCCACCUGGGGAGUACGCCGGCAACGGUGAAACUCAAAGGAAUUGACGGGGGCCCGCACAAGCGGAGGAACAUGUGGUUUAAUUCGAUGAUACGCGAGGAACCUUACCCGGGCUUAAAUUGCAACAGAAUAUAUUGGAAACAGUAUAGCCGUAAGGCUGUUGUGAAGGUGCUGCAUGGUUGUCGUCAGCUCGUGCCGUGAGGUGUCGGCUUAAGUGCCAUAACGAGCGCAACCCUUAUCUUUAGUUACUAACAGGUCAUGCUGAGGACUCUAGAGAGACUGCCGUCGUAAGAUGUGAGGAAGGUGGGGAUGACGUCAAAUCAGCACGGCCCUUACGUCCGGGGCUACACACGUGUUACAAUGGGGGGUACAGAAGGCGGCUACCUGGUGACAGGAUGCUAAUCCCAAAAACCUCUCUCAGUUCGGAUCGAAGUCUGCAACCCGACUUCGUGAAGCUGGAUUCGCUAGUAAUCGCGCAUCAGCCACGGCGCGGUGAAUACGUUCCCGGGCCUUGUACACACCGCCCGUCAAGCCAUGGGAGCCGGGGGUACCUGAAGUACGUAACCGCAAGGAUCGUCCUAGGGUAAAACUGGUGACUGGGGCUAAGU
Molecule: ribosomal RNA, 1435 nt
Filed under: uncultured organism
Description: 16S ribosomal RNA
Rfam family: Bacterial small subunit ribosomal RNA
Source: RNAcentral